AUAUCAAUAAGCGGAGGAAAAGAAACCAACAGGGAUUACCCUAGUAACGGCGAGUGAAGCGGUAACAGCUCAAAUUUGAAAUCUGGCCUUCACGGGUCCGAGUUGUAAUUUGUAGAGGAUGUUUCGGGCAAGGCUCUGGUUUAAAUUUCUUGGAACAGAAUGUCAUAGAGGGUGAGAGUCCCGUCUAGAACCGAUGGCCGCGUCCAUGUGAAACUCCUUCGACGAGUCGAGUUGUUUGGGAAUGCAGCUCAAAAUGGGUGGUAAAUUUCAUCUAAAGCUAAAUAUUGGCCAGAGACCGAUAGCGCACAAGUAGAGUGAUCGAAAGAUGAAAAGCACUUUGAAAAGAGAGUUAAACAGUAU
Molecule: ribosomal RNA, 360 nt
Filed under: uncultured fungus
Lineage: Eukaryota; Fungi
Description: eukaryotic LSU rRNA
Rfam family: Eukaryotic large subunit ribosomal RNA
Source: RNAcentral